Molecule: ribosomal RNA, 408 nt
Filed under: uncultured bacterium
Lineage: Bacteria
Description: partial 16S ribosomal RNA
Rfam family: Bacterial small subunit ribosomal RNA
Source: RNAcentral
GACGAACGCUGGCGGCGUGCUUAACACAUGCAAGUCGACCGGCGUGUCGAACGGGUGUGUAACACGUUGCUGAUCUGCCUUCCUCUUCGGGUUAAUCUUGGGUAACUUGGUCUUAUACCGGAUAGUUCAAGAUGAGCUCGCGGCCUAUCAGCUUGUUGGUGGGGUAAUGGCCUACCAAGGCGUCGACGGGUAGCCGGCCUGGGAGGGUGUACGGACACAAUGGGACUGGGAUACGGCCCAGACUCCUACGGGAGGCAGCAGUGGGGAAUAUUGCACAAUGGGCGGAAGCCUGAUGCAGCGACGCCGCGUGGGGGAUGAAGGCUUUCGAGUUGUAAACUCCUUUCGACAGGGACGCGGUACCUGUAUAAGAAGCACCGGCUAACUACGUGCCAGCAGCCGCGGUAAUAC